AGUGAACGCUGGCGGUAGGCCUAACACAUGCAAGUCGAACGGCAGCACAGUAAGAGCUUGCUCUUACGGGUGGCGAGUGGCGGACGGGUGAGGAAUACAUCGGAAUCUACUUUUUCGUGGGGGAUAACGUAGGGAAACUUACGCUAAUACCGCAUACGACCUACGGGUGAAAGCAGGGGAUCUUCGGACCUUGCGCGAUUGAAUGAGCCGAUGUCGGAUUAGCUAGUUGGCGGGGUAAAGGCCCACCAAGGCGACGAUCCGUAGCUGGUCUGAGAGGAUGAUCACCCAAACGGAAAUGAGGACAGGUUCCAGACCCCUACGGGGGGCAGCAGGGGGAAAAAUUGAACAAGGGGCGCAAGCUUAAUCCAGCCAUACCGGGGGGGUGAAGAAGGCCUUGGGGUGGAAAAGCCCUUUGUUUGGAAAAAAAAGCAGCAGGUUAAUACCCCGCUGUUCUGACGGUACCCAAAGAAUAAGCACCGGCUAACUUCGUG
RNAcentral lists this ribosomal RNA (491 nucleotides) under uncultured bacterium. Its description in RNAcentral is "partial 16S ribosomal RNA". It matches the Rfam family "Bacterial small subunit ribosomal RNA", at positions 29 to 507 of the family's 1533-position model. The record is from RNAcentral.